Long non-coding RNA from Homo sapiens (human), 1071 nucleotides. Ensembl annotates it as long intergenic non-protein coding RNA 2207. The record is from Ensembl. NCBI's taxonomy places the organism in Eukaryota, Metazoa, Chordata, Mammalia, Primates, Hominidae.
ACCAUCAUGCUUUUUAGAGGCCUCUGCUCUGCCAGCCUGGGAGUCAUCUUCACCCUCAGGCUGGUAGACUCCAGUCUCUUAGGUCAGAAUGGGAUUAGAGACCCGUUCCUGAACCAGUCACACACAGCGGGUGAAACUGCUAUGAUUGGUUUAGACUUAGAGACUGGAAUGGAUGCUGAAAACAUCGCCCAUUUCAUCUGUUUCUUCAGUCCCCAGAUAGCAGAUGACUGGUAGGAAGAUGAGGCAAGUUUGCGGUCCAUUGUCAUGGAUAGUGGAGACAACACUGGGCCAGAAGUGGUAAGACCUGAAUCCAAGACUCAGCUCUGCCACUUGCUAAAUGGGACUUUGAAUAAACCAUUUCUCUGCACUUAAGUUCCUUACCAACAAAACGAGGGAAGUGGCCUACAUGCCUAGAUAUCAACAUUUCAUGUCACGUAGAGAUCUAGCAUCACAAGAAUCCAAGUCAUCCUCUGUUGCCUUUAAGAAAUUAGAAUUAAAGGAAUCAGAAUUGAAGUGAAUCUGACUACACUAAGCCUAUCACUUGUGACAGCCAUGGGAAGAUAUCAUUGGUUGCUGAGGAGCAGAAAUAAGCAGAGACCUAUUGUGUUAGGUUAUCAUUCAUUUCAGACAAAAAGCAGAUCAGCAAGUUUUCAUAUUGCACUAUUUUCAAUGGCUGGAGCAUCAACAUUUUACAACAAGAAAAAAAUUAAAAUUCUUCAACAUUUGGAAAAGAAGUGUUUGUAAAACUUUUCACAUCCAUUCACCAUCCGGAAAAGCAAGGUUUUACAGUGAGGCCUGAUGAUGUCUAGAGUCACCAUGCAUCUUGGAAAAUGACCUCCUAUUUAUUUCUUCUACAGGACACCAUGGUGUUCACCUUUCUACAACUUUACACUUGCUGAGGACAUAUUGUGGAAAAUUAAGAGAAAUAUAUAUGGAUGGCCAAGGCUGUAGAUGGAUGUCCAAGCCUUUUUACUGGGGAAUGUUUUCAGAACAAAAUGAGUUACAGGUUCAAGAGUGAAACCCAACAAAUCUUGGCUCUUUUUUUCUCUACUAAAUUCCAAAUCAAAAGUA